GUUCAUAAAAAAGAUAAACCGUAGACAGUAGGUUGACAAGCCAUUUGUUGUAAAACUCCUACCGAGGUGUUCGUAUAUACGAUAAAUUAACUAUGACUAUGUCAUAGCUAUGGAAUCGGAUUACAAGCCUUCGUUGUCUACGAAGGCUUUUUAUAUGUAUUA
Molecule: regulatory RNA element, 162 nt
Organism: Desulfuribacillus alkaliarsenatis
Lineage: Bacteria; Bacillati; Bacillota; Desulfuribacillia; Desulfuribacillales; Desulfuribacillaceae
Rfam family: Ribosomal protein L10 leader
About the family: This family is a putative r-protein leader autoregulatory structure found in B. subtilis and other low-GC Gram-positive bacteria. It is located in the 5' untranslated regions of mRNAs encoding ribosomal proteins L10 and L12 (rplJ-rplL).
Source: Rfam